Long non-coding RNA from Poecile atricapillus (Black-capped chickadee), 1088 nucleotides. RefSeq lists it as uncharacterized. The record is from RefSeq and is a predicted model, not a curated record. The transcript is spliced from 3 exons. Lineage: Eukaryota; Metazoa; Chordata; Aves; Passeriformes; Paridae.
UAAAAGAGCACAUGGAACCAAAAUAACCAUUCUUUUAAGCAAAUAGUCUCUGGCCCUUGGUCAAUCCAGCCAACAGCUGAGGGAUGGGUUCACUAAAGCAGAUUCUAUCUUGUCUUUCCACACAAUUUGUUUAGUCAUCCAUAGAAUUGUAUAAUCAAACAGAACUUUAUUCCAGGAUUAUUUACAAAGGUAAUACCCUUCACACCUUUCCCUCAGGAACUUUUCUGCCAGUGUGUAGCCCAAACUCAUCGAUGCUUGUGCUGACCUUUCACUUGGCUCCAGUUUUGGCUGUGUGGUUGCAAUUUCCCUUACGCAAUGUCCCAAGGUACUGCAUGUUUCUGCCUUUGUGCUCCAUCGGUUUUGUUGUUCAAACCUCUCCAUAAUUUUUUGCUAGGCAGGAAACCACACAUUUCACAGGCCCUUGGCAUCCUGACAGCAAAAACAGAACGCUUCACCUCCGCGGCGACAUCUGCCUUGUGUGAGGCGCGCUGGGAGAGGGAGGGCUCUCUGUUUGGGAAGUUGUUUCUGCGCACAGGAGACACACCUGGAAGACCACAAGGAGCACAUUUGUAGAAUGCUUUUGACUCCCUAAAUAUUUAACACCACACAGUCUCAGAAUGAUGAUAAAGCUGCCAAAUGUUCUGUCAGAGCUUCUGUUUGACUUUCCCAAUGCCUAGAAGGGCCAAGAAGAGGAAAAAAGUCCCACCAGUUCCUGUGGCUGACACCAGCCUCAGCCCAGCAGCCAAAGGGCCUCCGCUCAGCAGAAAGCUGGUGGUCAGAGGGGAAGCCUUACACAGAGCAGGGACACAUCAUGGUAGAUGCUAACUUCUGCAAGGCACAACUGAGAAUAUCAAACUGCUUACCAGCUUCCAACUGACAACCAAAAGACAAAACUCUUGAAGAAGCUUUUCAUGCUGUUAUAAAAAAGGGCCUCUCUGCCUCUGGGAGUCAGCAGCUCCUCCCAGUUCAGUGUCUUCAGCAAAACUAUUCAGUGUGGCUUUGAUUUCCGUGUCCAACUUGUUGAUGAUGCUGUUGAAGAGAACUGGCCCUGAAAUGGAACCUCACAAGUGACCUGUCACCAGCCUGAA